RNAcentral lists this ribosomal RNA (487 nucleotides) under Mrakia aquatica. Its description in RNAcentral is "eukaryotic LSU rRNA". It matches the Rfam family "Eukaryotic large subunit ribosomal RNA", at positions 147 to 618 of the family's 3401-position model. The record is from RNAcentral. Lineage: Eukaryota; Fungi; Basidiomycota; Tremellomycetes; Cystofilobasidiales; Mrakiaceae.
AGUCUAGAGAAUCGUUUUCCGCGUUGGCCUGUGUACAAGUCCCUUGGAACAGGGCGUCAUAGAGGGUGAGAAUCCCGUCCUUGACACAGACUACCAAUGCUUUGUGAUGCGAUCUCGAAGAGUCGAGUUGUUUGGGAAUGCAGCUCAAAAUGGGUGGUAAAUUCCAUCUAAAGCUAAAUAUUGGCGAGAGACCGAUAGCGAACAAGUACCGUGAGGGAAAGAUGAAAAGCACUUUGGAAAGAGAGUUAAACAGUACGUGAAAUUGUUAAAAGGGAAACGAUUGAAGUCAGUCAUGCUCUCCGAGACUCAGCCGAUUCUGUCGGUGUACUUCUCGGUUGGCAGGCCAGCAUCAGUUUUGAUCUGUGGAAAAGGUUGGAGAGAAUGUGGCAUCCUCGGAUGUGUUAUAGCUCUUCUUCGAAUACAUAGAGCGGGACUGAGGAACGCAGCGUGCCUUUUAUUAGGUUGGCCUUCGGGUACAUACACGCUU